GCCCGUUUGGCUUAGUGGUACAGCGUCUCACUCGUAUUUCGUAUGCGUCAUGAGAAGAUCCUCGGUUCGAUUCCGAGAAUGGGCA
Non-coding RNA from Massariosphaeria phaeospora, 85 nucleotides. The record is from the annotation of a GenBank genome assembly. Lineage: Eukaryota; Fungi; Ascomycota; Dothideomycetes; Pleosporales.